GUUUAAGUAGCUUAUUUAGAGCAUAAUAUUGAAGAUAUUAAGGAAGUACUUUUACUUUUAGACA
This 64-nucleotide transfer RNA is filed under the name Lopheros rubens. RNAcentral's name for it is "tRNA-Phe". Lineage: Eukaryota; Metazoa; Arthropoda; Insecta; Coleoptera; Lycidae. The record is from RNAcentral.